UCAGACGAUGCGUCAUGCAUAUCAAUAAGCGGAGGAAAAGAAACUAACAAGGAUUCCCUUAGUAACGGCGAGUGAAGCGGGAAGAGCUCAAAUUUGAAAUCUUGAAAGGUCACCUUUCACGAAUUGUAGUUUAAAGAAGUGUUUUCUGUUACGAUCCGUAAUAUAAGUUCUUUGGAAUAGGACAUCACAGAGGGUGAGAAUCCCGUCUAUGAUUGCGAUUUGUAGCUUUGUGAUACACUUUCAAAGAGUCGGGUUGUUUGGGAAUGCAGCCCAAAACGGGAGGUAAAUUUCUUCUAAGGCUAAAUAUUGGCGAGAGACCGAUAGCGAACAAGUACCGUGAGGGAAAGAUGAAAAGAACUUUGAAAAGAGAGUUAAAUAGUACGUGAAAUUGUCAAAAGGGAAGCGUUUAACACCAGUGUUGUUUUCCGAAAAUCAACCUCUGUUAGCUUUAUGCAUGUUUGUUUAGGACCUAAUCAGCUAUCUUGCAUGUUCUAUUGUUUGCAGUGGUGCACUUUUCAGUUUACAGGUCAACAUCAGUUUUUUUUACCGUAAAAAAGUUAAAGAAAGGGUAGCUCAUGGCUCCGGUCGUGAGUGUUAUAGUCUUUUUCCUAUGCGGUAGGAGAGACUGAGGUCUGCAGUGUAGGCUAUUUGGCUAGAUACUCAGGUGCUAUGUGAUACCAUUUCAUAAACAACUUGUUGAUUAUGUUUUGUCUAUUGCAUACUCGCUUGUACUAUCAUACCUACGCUUAGGAUGUUGAUCUGUAGUGCGUGCGC
This 774-nucleotide ribosomal RNA is filed under the name uncultured Neocallimastigales. RNAcentral describes it as "partial large subunit ribosomal RNA". It matches the Rfam family "Eukaryotic large subunit ribosomal RNA", at positions 18 to 634 of the family's 3401-position model. Lineage: Eukaryota; Fungi; Neocallimastigomycota; Neocallimastigomycetes; Neocallimastigales. The record is from RNAcentral.